CCACGGGCGGCAGCAGUGGGGAAUAUUGGACAAUGGGCGAAAGCCUGAUCCAGCCAUGCCGCGUGUGUGAAGAAGGCCUUCGGGUUGUAAAGCACUUUCAGUGGGGAAGAAAGCCUUGGGGCUAAUACCCUCGAGGAAGGACAUCACCCACAGAAGAAGCACCGGCUAACUCCGUGCCAGCAGCCGCGGUAAUACGGAGGGUGCGAGCGUUAAUCGGAAUUACUGGGCGUAAAGCGCGCGUAGGCGGUCUGAUAAGCCGGUUGUGAAAGCCCCGGGCUCAACCUGGGAACGGCAUCCGGAACUGUCAGGCUAGAGUGCAGGAGAGGAAGGUAGAAUUCCCGGUGUAGCGGUGAAAUGCGUAGAGAUCGGGAGGAAUACCAGUGGCGAAGGCGGCCUUCUGGACUGACACUGACGCUGAGGUGCGAAAGCGUGGGUAGCAAACAGGAUUAGAUACCCCAGUAGUC
Molecule: ribosomal RNA, 464 nt
Filed under: Vreelandella stevensii
Lineage: Bacteria; Pseudomonadati; Pseudomonadota; Gammaproteobacteria; Oceanospirillales; Halomonadaceae
Description: partial 16S ribosomal RNA
Rfam family: Bacterial small subunit ribosomal RNA
Source: RNAcentral